AUGGACAAGUUCCCCAGCGACCACGCCCCUGCCGUCCCCGCGCAUCUGCUGCUUCGUCACCAACCUCCAGCGCCUCCGCCGGCCUGGUUCGCCUCGCCGCUGUUGCUUUACAAGCCUGCCUCCCUUCUGCUCCGUCCAUUAGACCACCUUGGCCGUGGUUUGCCGCUGCCUAGACCACCUUCAGCUGGGUGCCCCGCCUCCUGCUUCGGCCAGAGUUCCUUCGCCUCCAAGCUGCUUCUCGAGCUGUCACUCGAGGUUGUAACCUCCGUGUGUUCUACCACCCCGUGCAUGUCGCCAAAGUACCACAACACCGAUUACCACACAGACCGCCAAGACCGAGUACGAGGAUUCACAAAGUACCUUCGAAUGCGCCAAGUUUGA
This 381-nucleotide ribosomal RNA is filed under the name Triticum aestivum (bread wheat). RNAcentral's name for it is "partial small subunit ribosomal RNA". Lineage: Eukaryota; Viridiplantae; Streptophyta; Magnoliopsida; Poales; Poaceae. The record is from RNAcentral.